GAAAAUUUGGUUCUGGUUUCAAUUUUGAUUUAAAAGUUUCUGCCACAUGCAAGUUAAUAACGAACCAGUUGAACUAUACUAUUUAUUUUCAACCUACUAAUAAAUAGAAAGAUUUUAGUUAAUCUACAAUAUCAUUUAAGUUCAACGGCCAGCAGUGCUUAAAAUUGUUAAUUUAAGAAAUUAAGACACAGAAAACUUUUCUAAUAAUGGUUAAUAACGUGCCAGCCACCGCGGUUAUACGUUAAUUAUAAAUCAAAAAUACCGGUCAAAGAUGAUAAGAUAAAUAAACUAUUUUUGAUUAAUUUACCCAGCAGUAACAAGCUUAAUCCUAAUAAUUCAAAAAUUAAAUCCUGAAUCGAAGAAAUUAGGGAAUAAACAGGGAUUAGAUACCCCCCUAUACCUUAUAGUAAUCUUUUUCACCAGAGUAAUACGCCCAAACAGGUAAAACUUUAAGAACUUGGCGGUUUUUUAGACCUAAUCGGAGGAGCUUGUUGUUAAAUUGAUACCCCACAAGGAACCUUACCUUCCCUAGAAUCACAGCUUGUAUACCAUCGUCGCUAGCUAACCUUCAAAGAACAAAAGCUUUAUGAAUUAUUUAUUCACAACAUCAGAUCAAGGUGCAGCUUAUGGGAAGAGGAAUUAAUGAGCUACUUUACCAAUUAAGUCAGAGGAUAUAAAGAUUUAAAAUUUAUAGAAAAAGGAUUCGAUAGUAACUUACUACAGAAAAAGAAAGUGAAAACAGCUCUAAAAUACGCACAUAUCGCCCGUCACUCUCGUCACAUGAGGAGAAAAGUCGUAACACAGUAGGUCCACCUGAAGGUGGACCUGGAAAUU
RNAcentral lists this non-coding RNA (834 nucleotides) under Benthodytes marianensis. The record is from RNAcentral. Lineage: Eukaryota; Metazoa; Echinodermata; Holothuroidea; Elasipodida; Psychropotidae.